Molecule: small nucleolar RNA, 111 nt
Filed under: Catagonus wagneri (Chacoan peccary)
Lineage: Eukaryota; Metazoa; Chordata; Mammalia; Artiodactyla; Tayassuidae
Description: Small nucleolar RNA SNORA11 (ENSCWAG00000019753.1)
Rfam family: Small nucleolar RNA SNORA11
About the family: U107 (SNORA11) is a member of the H/ACA class of snoRNAs that guide the sites of modification of uridines to pseudouridines.
Source: Rfam by way of RNAcentral
AGUAUGCAUUAGAACCACCUGGACCCUACAACACAUCCAUGAGGAACCUGGAUUCGUUGUGAAAAGGGGCACAAAACUCAUGACCUUCCUAUUAACAGAUACCCAACACAU